AGUUAGCAAUUUACAGUACGUGGGUGUGUACAUGUGUGUGGAGGGGGGUGAGGCUGUUAAGAGUUUAAAAGCGGAAGAGGAGUCGGUUCAGAUCCUGUAUUGAAGUCGGGGAAGCCACUGGCACUUUCUGUUCAAACAUUUGAGAGGACCAACUUGCCUCGCUGCAACGCCCGGCUCCGCCACCAAACAGACAAGAAAGACUUCUCGCUGCCAUGUUUUUCGGCUCAACUUCCUUCCUGCCCAGGAGCGCUGGAGUAUCUCGUUAGUUCUCUCACAGCAAACGUCUCCUCUCUAUCUGCCGAGAGCAAAACUAGAAAGGGGGGCUACAUCAAGAAGUUGGGCGUGUGAGAUUCUCUGCAGAGCUAGCCUACAGUCAAUGGAAGCUGUGCUCAUUUGGGAUGAAAUCAG
Molecule: long non-coding RNA, 408 nt
Organism: Syngnathus typhle (broad-nosed pipefish)
Lineage: Eukaryota; Metazoa; Chordata; Actinopteri; Syngnathiformes; Syngnathidae
Exons: 3
Source: RefSeq, a predicted model, not a curated record